This 77-nucleotide transfer RNA is filed under the name Caudoviricetes sp. RNAcentral's name for it is "tRNA-Ile". Lineage: Duplodnaviria; Heunggongvirae; Uroviricota; Caudoviricetes. The record is from RNAcentral.
CACCACGUAGCUCAGUGCAGAGCGCCGCAAUAAUGUGGGUGCGGAGGUCGCUGGCUCAUACCCAGCCGUGGUGACCA